RNAcentral lists this ribosomal RNA (482 nucleotides) under uncultured bacterium. Its description in RNAcentral is "bacterial SSU rRNA". It matches the Rfam family "Bacterial small subunit ribosomal RNA", at positions 29 to 485 of the family's 1533-position model. The record is from RNAcentral.
AACUAACGCUGGCGGCGUGCCUAACACAUGCAAGUCGUACGAGAAAGUCGGCUUCGGCUGAUGAGUAAAGUGGCGCACGGGUGAGUAACGCGUGGAUAAUCUGCCCUUGAGUGUGGAAUAACGUACCGAAAGGUGCGCUAAUACCGCAUAAUGCCUGGCAACACAAGUUGUCCGGCCAAAGAAGGCCUCUGUUUACAAGCUUUUGCUCAAGGAUGAGUCCGCGUACCAUUAGCUAGUUGGUGGGGUAACGGCCUACCAAGGCUACGAUGGUUAGCUGGUCUGAGAGGAUGAUCAGCCACACUGGAACUGAGACACGGGUCCAGACUCCUACGGGAGGCAGCAGUGAGGAAUAUUGCGCAAUGGGGGCAACCCUGACGCAGCAACGCCGCGUGAGUGAGGAAGGUUUUCGGACUGUAAAGCUCUGUCGAGCGGGAAGAAAUGUACCAUGGCUAAUAUCCAUGAUAUUUGACGGUACCGCUAGA